This 423-nucleotide ribosomal RNA is filed under the name uncultured bacterium. RNAcentral describes it as "bacterial SSU rRNA". It matches the Rfam family "Bacterial small subunit ribosomal RNA", at positions 355 to 787 of the family's 1533-position model. The record is from RNAcentral.
UGGGGAAUAUUGGGGCAAUGGGGGAAACCCUGACCCAGCAACGCCGCGUGAAGGAAGAAGGCCUUCGGUUGGUAACAUUCUUUUAUCCACGGGAGCGAAGGACGUGACGGUACCUGGAGAAAAAGCAACGGCUAACUACGUGCCAGCAGCCGCGGUAAUACGUAGGUUGCGAGCGUUGUCCGGAUUUACUGGGUGUAAAGGGCGUGUAGGCGGAGAAGCAAGUUGGGAGUGAAAUCUAUGGGCUCAACCCAUAAACUGCUCUCAAAACUGUUUCCCCUUGAGUAUCGGAGAGGCAAGCGGAAUUCCUAGUGUAGCGGUGAAAUGCGUAGAUAUUAGGAGGAACACCAGUGGCGAAGGCGGCUUGCUGGACGACAACUGACGCUGAGGCGCGAAAGCGUGGGGAGCAAACAGGAUUAGAUACCC